RNAcentral lists this long non-coding RNA (576 nucleotides) under Mustela putorius furo (domestic ferret). Its description in RNAcentral is "lncRNA (ENSMPUG00000028620.1)". Lineage: Eukaryota; Metazoa; Chordata; Mammalia; Carnivora; Mustelidae. The record is from RNAcentral.
GUCUGCUUUCCCAUCCUUCACUCUUUUCCUUCUGUCUUGUCAGCUUUCCCUUUGUCCUUUUGGCUUUCCUGCCUGCUCUUCCUGCCAACAAGUCUGUACUUUCUCUCCUCCCUCCCGCCCCCCAUUCCUGAUCUCAUUUUCAAUGUAAUUAUAUUUCCUUGGGAGGUGGAAAUAGACGGAUGAAGGAGAAAGUUAUCGUUUAUCACACCCCCACCCUUAAGAUGAAGCCACAGCUAUUCUCCAUGGCGUUCUGCCGGACUUUGAAGAAUGUUGGUAUGAUAAUCGCAGGAAAGAAACUCUGCCUCUGGAAACCAUAUGUUACUGCACAUUCGCGGAGCUUCAAUCUUGGUUCCGCAUCCAGAAGGAACUGUGUGACUCAAGGGGACAGUUCCCACCUCUUCACCGAUCAUGUUUGAGAUUCAAGGCCAGAUGAUGACAUCAGAAACAUAUGUGUUCAUCUGGAGGCAACACUUGGCCUAAGAAACAGAGCAAGAGCUCCAGUGGGAGAACUAGGCUUUCAUUGGCCUAAAAAGAACCCCAAGAGGUGAGUUCCUUUAUCUUUUGCCUCCAGGAAAG